UACGAAGGGGGCUAGCGUUGCUCGGAUUGACUGGGCGUAAAGGGCGCGUAGGCGGUUCGUACAGUCAGACGUGAAAUUCCUGGGCUCAACCUGGGGGCUGCGUUUGAUACGUGCGGACUUGAGUGCGGAAGAGGGUCGUGGAAUUCCCAGUGUAGAGGUGAAAUUCGUAGAUAUUGGGAAGAACACCGGUGGCGAAGGCGGCUCACUGGCUCAUUACUGACGCUCAGGCGCGAUAGCGUGGGGAUCAAACAGG
This 253-nucleotide ribosomal RNA is filed under the name uncultured bacterium. RNAcentral's name for it is "partial 16S ribosomal RNA". It matches the Rfam family "Bacterial small subunit ribosomal RNA", at positions 524 to 776 of the family's 1533-position model. The record is from RNAcentral.